This 169-nucleotide ribosomal RNA is filed under the name uncultured bacterium. RNAcentral's name for it is "partial 16S ribosomal RNA". It matches the Rfam family "Bacterial small subunit ribosomal RNA", at positions 338 to 524 of the family's 1533-position model. The record is from RNAcentral.
CCUACGGGAGGCAGCAGUGGGGAAUAUUGCACAAUGGGGGAAACCCUGAUGCAGCGACGCCGCGUGAGUGAAGAAGUAUUUCGGUAUGUAAAGCUCUAUCAGCAGGGAAGAAGAUGACAGUACCUGAGUAAGAAGCCCCGGCUAACUACGUGCCAGCAGCCGCGGUAAU